RNAcentral lists this unclassified non-coding RNA (1917 nucleotides) under Leishmania donovani. RNAcentral's name for it is "gene:LdHU3.13.0140(CDS-product:SURF1_family_putat ive)". Lineage: Eukaryota; Euglenozoa; Kinetoplastea; Trypanosomatida; Trypanosomatidae. The record is from RNAcentral.
GGUGCUCACUGGACAGCUUGUCUCGGGCCUUCGCGGCGUCUCUCUCUUCCUCUCACGCACGCACUCGUCACAUUUUGUCUACGUUAACACACAUAAAGCCACACACGUCUUCAUCCCACCCCCUUUUCCCUCGCUCCCCAUAUCCUUCACAGACUGUUCGCGGACACGCCCUCACUCACCCACGCCUGCACACCCUUUUCUGUUCUCGCUGGUUAUUGUGGUCGCACUCUCUGUCGUUCGCGCGACCUGCCCCCUCGUAAUCUCGUCUUUCCCUUUCGCCGGGGCUCGACUCUCCGCAGCUGCCGCCGCAGCGUCGUCCAUACGACUCAGCCACCACCCACCACCAACCAGAAUAGCAAAAUGAGGCCCGAUUACAUGGGUGUGAUGUUCCUGUGCACCAGCGUGAUGUCCUUCAACGCUGGCAUAUGGCAGAUCUUCCGCAGGGGCCAGAAGAAGCAGCUGAUCGAGAAUCAUAAGAACGUUGAGAAGAGCCCGCUGACAGACUUGCCGCCAGAGAACGCGACGGUGAACGAGUGCGAGUACCGCCGAGUGAAGCUCAAUGGGUCGUUCGACAACGAAGGGUCAUGCCUAGUCGGCCCGCGCUCUAUCCCGUCGUACAAGGGCGCCGCGAACGAGGACGAGAGCCGCGGCGGGUUCCUUGUCAUGACACCCUUCGAGAUCGCCGACACUGGUAGGUUUGUGAUGGUGAACCGCGGCUGGGUGCCGAUCGACGCCGGAAAGCACCGCACGAUGCUGAGACAGUACAUCGGUGAGGGCUUCGCCCCUGCCCAAGUCCGCGGCAUUCUGCGGAAGGAGGAGUUCUUAGGCGGGUCUCUUUUUUGGGGUCCAAGCUCAGAAAACGAGGGCCCGGUGGCGGCGGACCUGUCGUGGCUGGUGGUGCGGCCGUGGAACAUGGCCAUGGCCUACUACCGCCGCCGGUGGGGUGCGGACCACCUCAAGGAGAGUGCCGAGAAGCACGGUGCUCAUCACUACUACGUGGAGAUGCUCGAGGACUUCUCGGGCGACGACCAGCGCAUUGUGCGCGGUCGCGCGUGGCCCCGUCGCCGCGAGGUGGACGAGGUCACCUAUGUGCACCUCACCCCCGUAGUGCACUCCAUGUACAUCGUCUUUUGGUUCUCUAUCACCGCCGGCUCCCUGUAUGGAGUGCUGCGGUGCUGGCGGCGCCAGAAGGACAUCUUUGCGCUGCGCAAGUACGUGAAUAAGCAGUCGAUGCAGCUGGAGACGCGUCGGCAAGCGGAGGCGCAGGCGUACAUGAAGGCAGUAGAGGAGGUGGAGCGAUUGAAGAGGAUCAGCACUGCUGCUGCCGCGGCGCAGAUCGACAUUGGGAAUCCUGCCACCGUCACGCACUGUGAGGGAACGGCGUCGAAGGAGAAGGAUGACUCACAACCAAGCAAGUAGCGCACCUUGGUCGAGGCUGCCUCACAGCCUUAAUGUCUGUCUGACCGGAGUGUUGCUUGUGCACCUGUUGGUGGGCUCGCUGCCCUUGCUGUGGUUCGAGGUCGGGGGCGGUGUACGCGUUUGGCUUUGUAGCGUACGUAUGCGCGUUUGUGGGUAUGCGUGGCGUUGUCGCUCCCCCACCUCUCUCUCCCCUGUCGCGGUCUCUUCUGCGGUUGACUCAAAUUGUUGCCUGGGCGUCGUGUGUUCUUUCCAUGGACGAUGGCCCUCCCCAGAGCGCUUCCUAUCCUUGCCCUGCCUACUUCUGACCUUCCCUUUCUUUGCGCACUGUUGCCUUCCCUCAUCCUCCUCCAUCGAGAAGAGGGAAAGCUCAGCAUCUCUGCCGUCGACCGGACCAUGGACCAACACACGCACAGAUGCACUCUCUUCUGCCAAGUCACUGCAACACUACACCUACACACACGCAUAGAGAAAUGCGCUGCGUCUCGUUCCUUUCUCCCG